Long non-coding RNA from Panicum virgatum (switchgrass), 422 nucleotides. RefSeq lists it as uncharacterized. The record is from RefSeq and is a predicted model, not a curated record. NCBI's taxonomy places the organism in Eukaryota, Viridiplantae, Streptophyta, Magnoliopsida, Poales, Poaceae. The transcript is spliced from 2 exons.
UGUGUUCUCCUUUCCCCUAAAUGCAGCUUUAUUCUCUUCCCAAUUCUUUCCCCCUCCAUUAAAAACCAGCAACUCCUCCUCUUUCCCUAUGUCUCUUUGUUUCUCACGUGCAUCUCUCCCUUGCUGCCCUUGUCACCCUACCGAUCUAAAACUGCUGCUGAGAGACUAGAGAGAGGAGAAGGUAAUAGGAGGAGAAUUGAAGGAAGGACAGCGCUGCACAAACCCUAGACCUUUGGGGGAUCAAGGUGCUUAAGUGCAUGCUUUGCUUGAAGGGAUGGGAUUAGCUGCACAUCAUCACAUAUUUGAUCACACGCUUUUGUAACAAUAAUGACAAAUUUUGUCUUGCUGUAAUGUUUUUAUGAGUAAAAUUCGUUAUGUUUUUUUGUGCCUUAUAAAAAUAAUUGUGGAUGAUAUUUACUGUU